This 450-nucleotide ribosomal RNA is filed under the name uncultured bacterium. RNAcentral's name for it is "partial 16S ribosomal RNA". It matches the Rfam family "Bacterial small subunit ribosomal RNA", at positions 338 to 795 of the family's 1533-position model. The record is from RNAcentral.
CCUACGUGGGGCUGCAGUGGGGAAUUUUGGACAAUGGGGGCAACCCUGAUCCAGCCAUGCCGCGUGCGGGAAGAAGGCCUUCGGGUUGUAAACCGCUUUUGUCAGGGAAGAAAUCUUCCGAGCUAAUACCUUGGGAGGAUGACGGUACCUGAAGAAUAAGCACCGGCUAACUACGUGCCAGCAGCCGCGGUAAUCCGUAGGGUGCAAGCGUUAAUCGGAGUUACUGGGCGUGAAGCGUGCGCACAGGGGUGAAAUCCCCGGGCUUAAACUGGGAACUGCACUUGUGACUGUACGGCUGGAGUACGGCAGAGGGGGAUGGAAUUCCGCGUGUAGCAGUGAAAUGCGUAGAUAUGCGGAGGAACACCGAUGGCGAAGGCAGUCCCCUGGGCCUGUACUGACGCUCAUGCACGAAAGCGUGGGGAGCAAACAGGAUUAGAUACCCCUGUAGUC